AUUGAACGCUGGCGGCAGGCCUAACACAUGCAAGUCGAGCGGAUGAAGGGAGCUUGCUCCUGGAUUCAGCGGCGGACGGGUGAGUAAUGCCUAGGAAUCUGCCUGGUAGUGGGGGAUAACGUCCGGAAACGGGCGCUAAUACCGCAUACGUCCUGAGGGAGAAAGUGGGGGAUCUUCGGACCUCACGCUAUCAGAUGAGCCUAGGUCGGAUUAGCUAGUUGGUGGGGUAAAGGCCUACCAAGGCGACGAUCCGUAACUGGUCUGAGAGGAUGAUCAGUCACACUGGAACUGAGACACGGUCCAGAGUCCUACGGGAGGCAGCAGUGGGGAAUAUUGGACAACGGGCGAAAGCCUGAUCCAGCCAUGCCGCGUGUGUGAAGAAGGUCUUCGGAUUGUAAAGCACUUUAAGUUGGGAUGAAGGGCAGUAAGUUAAUACCUUGCUGUUUUGACGUUACCAACAGAAUAAGCACCGGCUAACUUCGUG
Molecule: ribosomal RNA, 484 nt
Filed under: uncultured bacterium
Lineage: Bacteria
Description: partial 16S ribosomal RNA
Rfam family: Bacterial small subunit ribosomal RNA
Source: RNAcentral